UGGGGAAUCUUGGACAAUGGGCGCAAGCCUGAUCCAGCCAUGCCGCGUGAGUGAAGAAGGCCUUCGGGUUGUAAAGCUCUUUUUACCAGGGACGAUAAUGACGGUACCUGGAGAAUAAGCCCCGGCAAACUUCGUGCCAGCAGCCGCGGUAAUACGAAGGGGGCUAGCGUUGUUCGGAAUUACUGGGCGUAAAGGGCUCGUAGGCGGCCAACUAAGUCAGACGUGAAAUCCCUCGGCUUAACCGGGGAACUGCGUCUGAUACUGGAUGGCUUGAGGUUGGGAGAGGGAUGCGGAAUUCCAGGUGUAGCGGUGAAAUGCGUAGAUAUCUGGAGGAACACCGGUGGCGAAGGCGACAUCCUGGACCAAUUCUGACGCUGAGGAGCGAAAGCCAGGGGAGCAAACGGGAUUAGAUACCCAAGUAGUCCCUGAGCGGGCUGGCAAGGCGCAU
RNAcentral lists this ribosomal RNA (448 nucleotides) under uncultured bacterium. RNAcentral describes it as "bacterial SSU rRNA". It matches the Rfam family "Bacterial small subunit ribosomal RNA", at positions 355 to 825 of the family's 1533-position model. The record is from RNAcentral.